Vicugna pacos (alpaca) is the source of this 72-nucleotide non-coding RNA. NCBI's taxonomy places the organism in Eukaryota, Metazoa, Chordata, Mammalia, Artiodactyla, Camelidae. The record is from the annotation of a RefSeq genome assembly.
GAGGGUAUAGUUCAGGGUUAGAGUGCUUGCUUUGCAAGCAGGAGGUCCUGGGUUCAAUCCCCAGUACUUACA